Molecule: ribosomal RNA, 253 nt
Filed under: uncultured bacterium
Lineage: Bacteria
Description: partial 16S ribosomal RNA
Rfam family: Bacterial small subunit ribosomal RNA
Source: RNAcentral
UACGUAGGGGGCAAGCGUUGUCCGGAAUUAUUGGGCGUAAAGAGCGUGUAGGCGGUCCGGUAAGUCAGCUGUGAAAGUCAAGGGCUCAACCCUUGAAAGCCGGUUGAUACUGUCGGGCUAGAGUCCGGAAGAGGCGAGUGGAAUUCCUGGUGUAGCGGUGAAAUGCGCAGAUAUCAGGAAGAACACCUAUGGCGAAGGCAGCUCUCUGGGACGGUACUGACGCUGAGACGCGAAAGCGUGGGGAGCGAACAGG